ACACAGAUCUGGAGAUCUGUGAAGAACAGCUUUGCUAGCUUCGUCUGGUGGAAUACUUUGGCAGAUUUCUGUAUGCUGAACCAUCCUGCAUCUUUGGAACGAAGCCUAUUUGAUCAAGUGAGCAUGAUGACAUCAUGUGCUGACCCAACUGGACAGAUAGUGAAACUGAGAGGCAGGGCACUUAAGGGCUACUUAAUGGUAAGUCACCAGUAAGUGGCUGAGAUGGUAAGCUAAGAGCAACCUGCCAGUGACUCACAGAAGGAGAAGAAUCAGAAAAAGAAAAACUAGACUCUGUCUCAAACACAGGCAAGAGGGAUGGCUUUGAAAACCCAAGAAACUGGUAAAGAAGAGCUAAACACCUCAGGUGAAAAGCUGAUGGUAUGCUGAUGGUAAAAAAGCCAAGCUGAAUGCUGUUCUAGCUACACAGACAAAGAGCUGAAAGAAGACACAAAACUUAUCCCAGAGCUGAGCCAGGUAUCCCCAAGAACAGAUGACAAACCCACAGUCUUCACAAGCCACCAACUCAGUAUUGGUGAAACUGAUUCCUCCAACAACAGAGGAUAGGAGUCCUAUUUGCCAUCUGAAAUGACUCAGUGGCCAGGCGCCAUCUUGAGAGCGAAGCUAUUGCUUAAAACUGAAUUCCUUGGGACACUGGGAACAGGGAACAGUCACAGGCAGAGACACUGAACUGGCCCUUCCAUAACCUCAAAUAAGAGAUGGCCCUAGGGAGCAGCUGUGGAGAGUAGGGAGGCUGGACAUUGACAAGCCAAAAGGAGCAAGAGCCUCAGCCACUGAAAUACCCCACCCUCACUGGCCAGGAACCGACAGAAUCCACUGCUAACUGCCCUGGCAUUUGAUGACCUGUACCUGAGGUGAUCAAGUGGAGCCACCUAGUUCCACAUUGUAGAGAUCCAGAACGCAUGCUCCAGGAGAAUGCUUGAAAUUGCCAGAUCCCUUUGUGCCUCCAGCUGGGUGAUUGAUACUUGGGGAUCUGGAAAGUUCUAAGGUGGUCCUCUCUCUGCCUGUGCAGAUCUCAGUGUCAUGGUUGCUUCUGUGCACUCCCAAUGCACUCAGAAAAUGUGUCCCUAUUAAAAUAUUACCCAGCCCAGGAAGUGUGAAAUGGGUAAGUGAAGAUGGAGAAACACUACCCACAACACUGAAAAAAAAAAAAAAAAAAAAAAAAGGUUAAAUGUGGCCAGAAGAGGAGCCUGGUAUACAAGGAAGAGACACUACAAUGCCAAGCCAGCUGUGGUGAACAUCUGUCCUAUACAGGCUCAGCAUCAACAUAGAUCACUAGAAUAUAAAGAAAGAAAAGCCAGAACUUCUCAUUGAACCAUUGAAAAGCAUUUAGAAAAGGCAGUAAUUGUUUCAAAGCAGCAUAGACAGCUGGAGCUGGCUAAGGUACCCUACUGUUCGGCCUGCAUGAAGGCAGAGACAGCAUUUGUGAAUGACAACUAAGGCACAAUUGGGAAGGGCAACCCCAAAGGAGCAAAUGGCAAAGAUAAAUCAGUUGAGGCCCACAAGGUCAUGCAAACCUGAAGAUAGUGGCAAGAUUUCCCUUUGAAACCCUCACUAUUAGUGCCUGUCUAAGAGUAUAAUGGAACUCCCCCGUGGAGCCAAGAGCAGCAUCACAUCUGGGCAUUGAGUCUUAUUUCUCAGGGCCAAAAUUGUUGGGGGGAAAGCUACUAAGGACCUUGUUAAGUUGGUGAUUUAGGCAAUCUGUGGAUGUCACUUCAUUACUCCAUGACCUGAUGGACUUGCAAGUACUGUACAACGGAAGGUCUCCUAAGCAGCUGGGCUGAUGCUUUACAUUUGGAAGCAGAACAUCAAUAAAGAGAUGAGAGGAAGCAAUCUAUCUGCCCUUCGUGGCCAUGUCUAGCUCGUCACAGAAGGAGUGAUAAAGCUCCCUUCCAGUGUUAGAAGGAGCAAAAUCUUCGAUGGGAUGACCAAGAAGGAAAAUCUCUACUGAAGACUGUGUCCAAGCAGCAUCCAGGCCUCCAUCUUCUAAUGCGCAAAAUGAAAAGGCAGGCUUUCUCAACAGUUUGCCAACUUGGUCCUUGAACACUUUCCUUUCCACAGAGGCCCCCCGGGUGUCAGAAGGAAAUGGGUGAUGUGUACCCCCAAUCUACUCAUCCUCAUCCACAUUGUAACAGCACUACACACAGGAGAGUUGUUUGUGUCGGCUCUGCAUACAGUCCUUUAAACCGGGCUCUAAAGAAAAUAUUCCAAUUUCUAAUAAUAAACAUUAAAGGUCAAAUU
RNAcentral lists this long non-coding RNA (2259 nucleotides) under Mus musculus (house mouse). RNAcentral's name for it is "predicted gene, 32122". Lineage: Eukaryota; Metazoa; Chordata; Mammalia; Rodentia; Muridae. The record is from RNAcentral.